GGGUUGUGAGGUUAAGCGACUAAGCGUACACGGUGGAUGCCCUGGCAGUCAGAGGCGAUGAAGGGCGUGCUAAUCUGCGAUAAGCGCCGGUAAGGUGAUAUGAACCGUUAUAACCGGCGAUACCCGAAUGGGGAAACCCAGUGUGACUCGUCACACUAUCAUUAACUGAAUCCAUAGGUUAAUGAGGCGAACCGGGGGAACUGAAACAUCUAAGUACCCCGAGGAAAAGAAAUCAACCGAGAUUCCCCCAGUAGCGGCGAGCGAACGGGGAGGAGCCCAGAGCCUGAAUCAGCAUGUGUGUUAGUGGAAGCGUCUGGAAAGGCGCGCGAUACAGGGUGACAGCCCCGUACACAAAAGCGCAUGUGCUGUGAGCUCGAUGAGUAGGGCGGGACACGUGGUAUCCUGUCUGAAUAUGGGGGGACCAUCCUCCAAGGCUAAAUACUCCUGACUGACCGAUAGUGAACCAGUACCGUGAGGGAAAGGCGAAAAGAACCCCGGCGAGGGGAGUGAAAAAGAACCUGAAACCGUGUACGUACAAGCAGUGGGAGCACAGGUUUACCUGUGUGACUGCGUACCUUUUGUAUAAUGGGUCAGCGACUUAUAUUCUGUAGCAAGGUUAACCGAAUAGGGGAGCCGGAGGGAAACCGAGUCUUAAUUGGGCGUUAAGUUGCAGGGUAUAGACCCGAAACCCGGUGAUCUAGCCAUGGGCAGGUUGAAGGUUGGGUAACACUAACUGGAGGACCGAACCGACUAAUGUUGAAAAAUUAGCGGAUGACCUGUGGCUGGGGGUGAAAGGCCAAUCAAACCGGGAGAUAGCUGGUUCUCCCCGAAAGCUAUUUAGGUAGCGCCUCGUGAAUUCAUCUCCGGGGGUAGAGCACUGUUUCGGCUAGGGGGCCAUCCCGGCUUACCAACCCGAUGCAAACUGCGAAUACCGGAGAAUGUUAUCACGGGAGACACACGGCGGGUGCUAACGUCCGUCGUGAAGAGGGAAACAACCCAGACCGCCAGCUAAGGUCCCAAAGUCAUGGUUAAGUGGGAAACGAUGUGGGAAGGCCCAGACAGCCAGGAUGUUGGCUUAGAAGCAGCCAUCAUUUAAAGAAAGCGUAAUAGCUCACUGGUCGAGUCGGCCUGCGCGGAAGAUGUAACGGGGCUAAACCAUGCACCGAAGCUGCGGCAGCGAACGUAUCACUU
Molecule: ribosomal RNA, 1191 nt
Filed under: Salmonella enterica subsp. enterica serovar Newport
Lineage: Bacteria; Pseudomonadati; Pseudomonadota; Gammaproteobacteria; Enterobacterales; Enterobacteriaceae
Description: bacterial LSU rRNA
Rfam family: Bacterial large subunit ribosomal RNA
Source: RNAcentral